Odocoileus virginianus texanus is the source of this 125-nucleotide non-coding RNA. NCBI's taxonomy places the organism in Eukaryota, Metazoa, Chordata, Mammalia, Artiodactyla, Cervidae. The record is from RefSeq and is a predicted model, not a curated record.
UGUAACAGUUGUACCAUCUGGUAAAGGAUGUUGGUUCUGCUUUAUUAUGAUGUUCUCGCAAGAACUCUGCAAGGAGUCAGUAAACUAUAGCCUAUGAGCCAAAUAAACUCUCCAGCUGUUUUUGG